UACGGAGGGUGCAAGCGUUAAUCGGAAUUACUGGGCGUAAAGCGUGCGCAGGCGGUUUGUUAAGUCUGCUGUGAAAUCCCCGAGCUCAACUUGGGAAUUGCAGUGGAUACUGGCAAGCUGGAGUACGGUAGAGGAAGGUGGAAUUCCCGGUGUAGCAGUGAAAUGCGUAGAGAUCGGGAGGAACACCAGUGGCGAAGGCGGCUCACUGGCCCGGUACUGACGCUGAGGUGCGAAAGCGUGGGGAGCAAACAGG
This 253-nucleotide ribosomal RNA is filed under the name uncultured bacterium. RNAcentral describes it as "partial 16S ribosomal RNA". It matches the Rfam family "Bacterial small subunit ribosomal RNA", at positions 524 to 776 of the family's 1533-position model. The record is from RNAcentral.